CCAAUUGGGAACUUGCUCCUGGAUUCAGCGGCGGACGGGUGAGUAAUGCCUAGGAAUCUGCCUGGUAGUGGGGGAUAACGUCCGGAAACGGGCGCUAAUACCGCAUACGUCCUGAGGGAGAAAGUGGGGGAUCUUCGGACCUCACGCUAUCAGAUGAGCCUAGGUCGGAUUAGCUAGUUGGUGGGGUAAAGGCCUACCAAGGCGACGAUCCGUAACUGGUCUGAGAGGAUGAUCAGUCACACUGGAACUGAGACACGGUCCAGACUCCUACGGGAGGCAGCAGUGGGGAAUAUUGGACAAUGGGCGAAAGCCUGAUCCAGCCAUGCCGCGUGUGUGAAGAAGGUCUUCGGAUUGUAAAGCACUUUAAGUUGGGAGGAAGGGCAGUAAGUUAAUACCUUGCUGU
Molecule: ribosomal RNA, 403 nt
Filed under: Pseudomonas aeruginosa
Lineage: Bacteria; Pseudomonadati; Pseudomonadota; Gammaproteobacteria; Pseudomonadales; Pseudomonadaceae
Description: bacterial SSU rRNA
Rfam family: Bacterial small subunit ribosomal RNA
Source: RNAcentral